AUGUUUGCCGCCGCCGCCGCCGCCUCCUCUUCACUGGCGACCUGGCAACGGCAGCAGCAGCGGCGGUUCCUUCCGCAGCGGCGGCCCCACAGCAGCGGCGGCGGCGGCGGCGGCGGCGGCGCCCCCUCCCCUCACACUCAGACACGGCGAGCCGCGGCGGCGGGCGGGGCGGCGUGGGCACUGCUGCCGCCCCCUCCUCAGGAGCACCCGGCGAGGGGCGACCGGGGAGAAGCCCUCGCGCUUUCGUCGGUGCUGCUGCUGGUGCUACCGCCACUGCCGCCGCCGCCGGGAAUUACACGGGCUCCUCGGUCCCCGGCUGCAGCUCUUUUGGGGGAGGGGACACGGCGGGAAAGGGAGGGAGCGGGGCGGGCACCCGAGCGGGACACCCAAGCGGGGGGCCGAGUAGGUGUUUUUCUCCCCCCGCCCCCGGGCACGCCGCGAGGGCGGAGGCUGCAGGAGAGCCGGGCCCGCGCUGGGCACGGGGAAUCGAUGACUCGGCCGGCGGGAUUGGCCGGAGCCGCGGCGAUCGCGCUCGCCUCGCCGACCGCCAUUUCACAUCCUGCAGAGAAGGCGGGGGCAGCCGCGGAAACGGCCUUUUACAAGGUAACAUACCUGCUUUGUACAACAGCCUGUGCUGGACCACUGGACCACCUUCCUACACAGAUACUCAUCUCACCCCACCUGGGCUCUGAAAUAUCCUCUUCAGCCUGCCUGGAUGCCAACAUCUUGCGCUAGGCUAUCCCUUUGCAAGAACACUCCCCUUGCCUCACGUGAGCUCUGAAACCUCCUGCUGGGCUGUCCCUCCCACCCUCAUCGAAUCCUCAGCCCACCCGGGCUAUCCCAUGCUGGGCCACCCUCUCAGCCUGCUGUGGCUCAGAUGCUGAGCUAAGCUGAGCCUGUGUAGGAGUGGCCCUCUCCUCCUGCGUGCUUUUCUGGUGCUCUCAUUCUAUAAAGAUUUAUAUUAUCUGUGAAUAAUCAAAGUGUUUCCUCAAACUAGAGGUCUGUGUAUGUAUUACUGAUGAUCAAUCAGUAAUAACUUAUUUUUAUUUCAAUGAUGAUCUAAAAAAGUUACAUUAUAAACUAAUCAUAUCUGGAAUGUUCAUUUUCCAACCACGUUUAGUGUCAGUGCUUUGUGUUUUAAAUUGUGUUGGUACCACAUGAUUAUUAAUGCGGCAAUAUUUAACUUUUAAAGUGUCAGUGGUCUUCAGACUGGCAUUUCUGGCAUCAAAAUACAAAAACCAUCUUGAUUUCUGUUUGAUAAAAAUUAUAUUGAGUUAUCCUACCAAUUAAAAAGCUAAAACUGCUCUUUUUCAGAGA
Molecule: long non-coding RNA, 1317 nt
Organism: Capra hircus (goat)
Lineage: Eukaryota; Metazoa; Chordata; Mammalia; Artiodactyla; Bovidae
Product: U1 small nuclear ribonucleoprotein C
Exons: 4
Source: RefSeq, a predicted model, not a curated record